RNAcentral lists this ribosomal RNA (329 nucleotides) under uncultured eukaryote. RNAcentral describes it as "partial 18S ribosomal RNA". It matches the Rfam family "Eukaryotic small subunit ribosomal RNA", at positions 1470 to 1796 of the family's 1831-position model. The record is from RNAcentral.
CCCUUAGAUGUUCUGGGCCGCACGCGCGCUACACUGAUGCAUUCAACGAGUCUAAAACCUGGUCUGAUAGGGCUGGGUAAUCUUUUGAAUGUGCAUCGUGAUUGGGAUAGAUGAUUGCAAUUCUUCAUCUUCAACGAGGAAUGCCUAGUAAACGCAAGUCAUCAGCUUGCAUUGAUUACGUCCCUGCCCUUUGUACACACCGCCCGUCGCUCCUACCGAUUGAAUGUGUUGGUGAGGAGCUCGGAUUGGCAGCAGUUGGUGGUUCGCCACCGGCUAUUGCUGAGAAGUCCUCCAAACCGCCCCAUUUAGAGGAAGGAGAAGUCGUAACA